GAUGAACGCUGGCGGCGUGCCUAAUACUUGCAAGUCGAGCGAACAGAUGAGGACCUUGCUCCUCUGUCGUUAGCGGUGGCCGGCUGAGUAACAAGUGGAUAACCAACCUCUCAGACCUGGAUAACUUCGGGAAACCGGUGCUAAUACCGGAUAAUAUAUUGAACCUCAUGGUUCAUUGGUGAAAGACGGUUAUGCUGUCACUUAUAGAUGGAUCCGCGCCGGAUUAGCUAGUUGGUAAGGUAAUGGCCUACCAAGGCAGCGAUGCGUAGCCGACCUGAAAGGAUGUUCGGCGGCACUCGGACUGUGACGGUAUCCUAACUACUACGGUGGGCAGCAGUAGAGGGUCAUACGGCAUAGGCGGUAGCGUGACGAGGCAGAGCCGCGGGAGUGACGAAGGGAUCCGGAUCGUAAAAAACUGUUGUUACGGAAGAACAAGCAUUUACGGAACUAUGAGCGUCUUGACGGUAACUGGUCAGGAAGCCUCGGCUAACUACGUG
RNAcentral lists this ribosomal RNA (497 nucleotides) under uncultured bacterium. Its description in RNAcentral is "partial 16S ribosomal RNA". It matches the Rfam family "Bacterial small subunit ribosomal RNA", at positions 28 to 507 of the family's 1533-position model. The record is from RNAcentral.